Molecule: ribosomal RNA, 274 nt
Filed under: uncultured bacterium
Lineage: Bacteria
Description: partial 16S ribosomal RNA
Rfam family: Bacterial small subunit ribosomal RNA
Source: RNAcentral
AUACGGAGGGUGCAAGCGUUACUCGGAAUCACUGGGCGUAAAGCGCAUGCAGGCGGUCUAAUAAGUUGGAAGUGAAAGCCUAUGGCUCAACCAUAGAACUGCUUCCAAAACUGUUAGACUAGAGUCUGGGAGGGGAAGAUGGAAUUAGUAGUGUAGGGGUAAAAUCCGUAGAGAUUACUAGGAAUACCAAAAGCGAAGGCGAUCUUCUGGAACAAUACUGACGCUGAGAUGCGAAAGCGUGGGGAGCAAACAGGAUUAGAUACCCUAGUAGUCC